Molecule: unclassified non-coding RNA, 5478 nt
Filed under: Leishmania donovani
Lineage: Eukaryota; Euglenozoa; Kinetoplastea; Trypanosomatida; Trypanosomatidae
Description: gene:LdHU3.19.1320(CDS-product:hypothetical_prote in_conserved)
Source: RNAcentral
CUCUUUGCGAAAGCGGCUACUUGCAAACCGUGUACCCACGCGCACACCGCUCAUCACACUUUCUUGGAAAUUCCGCAUCACAGGUCAAGAUGAACGACUACGAUGAACUCUACGAAGACGACUUCGAGGAUGACGAGCUUGGCUCUGUCGCCGCCAAGUCGGCCUCGUGCCGCGCUGCGUCCAUGUCAACGCCGCAUCACUCUGUUCCUGCUACCCACGGAACGGCCUCAAAGGGCGGAGUGGUAAACUCCACAGCCGCGGGCCAUAGCGGUGCCGCAGCUAAGCCUGGGAUGGAGAGUGCUCCACGACGGCCCAUGUGUUCCUUGGGCUCCAGCUUCUCCAGCUACCAAUCAUCUUCGGCUGACCCGCUGCUGCGGUCAGCACACGAGCUCUGCUCCUCCUCGUCGCACUCCUCGUCCACGUCGUCGUCCCGACAUCACACGAACCCUAAGCACCCUACCAAGGACAGCGGCAGCACUCCAUCUGCUGCAGAAUCCGUCAAAGGCCAUCGAGGCUCGCCGGGCACCGAUGGCGCCAACGCUGUAGUGGUCGCGUCUGGUUUUGUUCGCACACCCACGUCGCCAAGCAACCUCAGCGCUGUCACCCGCGCCUCUGCGCGCCCCUCCGUUGCACAAAUGCCUGGGCAGCGCGAAAUCGCCUCUAGUGGCGCCCCAAAGGCGUACGCCAAGCUCGACAGUGAUGACGGGGCGCAGGUGGUCGCCAGCAUGGGUGGGAAGCAGCUGCUACCGACGUCUCCUUCCGAGGCGUCAGCGACCGAAACCGCGGCGUCCUCUUGCACCUCCUUUCACUCAACGUCACACGCUUCCUUGUCGCCGGGCCGCGCUGAAUCCUCGCGCCACGGUAUGCCGAGUGCCGGGAGCGGCAGCGUCUCGGAAACGGGCGCAAAACACCUCCAACGCGUCAAGUUCGCGGGGCACGCCUCGCGAAGCUCGUCGGACUCAUCCUGCAGUAGCGACGAUGAUGGCGGUAGCGGCUGUGGGCGGCGUCACGGCACCUCUCCGCCCCCCUUCGCCUCCGCCGCAGCGCCCCCGGCGGCCGCGGUGGAGCCUGGCAUUGAGGCACCGGUCACGCGUAAUGUCUCCGCCGAGCGUCGCCACUCCAGAAGCGGCUCGACCACAACCUAUAGUAGAAAAAAGUUGCUACACCAGUCGAACUACACCUCGGUGGGUGUGCUGGAAGAGGACGACGACCGCGGUCAUCGCCGCACCCCGGCCGAGAUCGACGCUGCAGCGGCCCCAGUCGAUGAUGAAGAGGAGGGAGAGGAGGGCCACGAGGACGCAAACGCCAGCGACACCAUGUCACUCGUGGCGACAGUGGCAGCACAGCGGCAACGCUUGGCCUCCUCGCCGUCGGGUGCCCGCUCGGACUUCUUCACGAGCCUCACCCCAUCCACCUCUGCGGGCUCGUCGCUUACGAGCCACCAAACCCCCUCCCUCCACACCACUACGGCAACGCCAUCAUCCUCAAUGGCACCGACGACACGCUCCUCAUCGAAUCGUGUGCCGCCGCAGAGCGGGCCUGACAGCUUUAGUGCUCACAGCAGCAGCAGCCCAAAAAACUCAGCCUCUGCUGUGGCACUGCAAACCUCAAGCAGCAACGCCUCCCCACCUAGAUCUGCUUUACCCGAAGCCGCACCAAAGACGCGAGCGGCAAGCGGUGCUGCACUGCGCGGCGCCAUUCAGCGGCGUCAGGUCGCCACCGUUUGCAAAGAUGCGAUGGAUGCACGGCUCUUGGAUGGUGUCGGCGACUCACAGCGAUCAUAUGACGACAGCAGUGGCAUCGGCACCGACGAGGGUCAUGUGAAGAAAAAGCCGCAGAGAGAUGCGAGGUCGAAACAGCUGUCGCCGCCGCUCCCGCCGUCGAGGACCUCCCAGCUUUCGACCACGACGUCCGAAGAUGCCUCCCUUUCUAAAGUGGGCACCGCAAAGACCAAAGGGCACACGAAAGCGUCGACCACGGCGGCCAAGGACGGCGACGCGCCUGAGUCGGGCGAGCGUGCGGCGCUGCUGGCGCGCGUGGCGCAGCUCCGCGAGGAAAUAGCCACGUGGGACAGUCGCAUUGCACGGCAGCGCGCCUUAAUGAGAGCAGAGGCGGGGCGGUCGGGCGGUGCGGCGGCUUCCUCGCCAAAGUGUCGCUCCGCCGACGGUACAGGCGUGGCACGAAGACGCGGGGGCUCGAACGGCGGCAAGCGGCGCUCUGAGUCGGUGGAGCAGGCGCUACACACGCAGGCCGACGCCAAGGGCGACGGUCGUCCCGCCAACGCACGACUCACGAAGCUGAGGCAGGAAAACGAGCAGCUCGAGGCCCAGUACGCGCGCCAAGGCGCCGGGGGGGCGGAGAUGAACGUGCAGGCGCUCGUGGUGCGGGCAGACAUCCAGCUGCAAAAAGUUCGGCUGCGGCUAAAGGAAGUCACGGCCGUGCGCCGCGCUCUCGAAAACCGCGACAAGCGUGCUGCGCACACCAUCAAAGAGGUGCACCGUCGCAUGCCGACGGCCGAUGAGCUGGAGGAGCGGCAGCACAACGAGGGUAUUUACUCACGCAAGGGUCUGCUGCGCACGGUGAAGGAGCUCAAGGAGAACCUCGAACGCACACGCGCGGCGACCAAGAUGAUGAAGGCCAUGUGCGCUGAGCUCGAAGCGCACGUGCGGCGCAAGCACCUGUCGUCCAUCACGCCGAAGGAGUACGAGGCACUCUGCGCCACUCGUGACGCCAAUGCGAAAGCGAUUGAGAAGCACAAAAAUGCCAUCUCCGUCUACACAAUCGCCUUCGCGCAUGAACUGCGCAACGGCUCGAAAGCCGCGUGUGGUGGCGAUGCUGGGGUUUGUGCUACGCAGUCAAGUCGCAGCUCCUGCACGACGUCGCCAUUCAAGCCCGCCAUCUCGCCAGCUCGGGCGGGGGCGAUAGUGAAAGAGCAGCAGCAAAUAAUUGCCGAGCACGAGGCGAACAAGGCUGACCGUCUGCUUCAACAGAAGAGGACACUGCUGGACCGCAAGCAGGAGCUGCAGGCAAGCAUCAACACGCUGUCGCAGCGUGUGGAGAAGUACAACGAGCAGAUCAAGGCGAAUCACGCGCAGGCAGGGCUCAGCUACUUCGAUGCCAAUUCUGCUACUGCUGCCAAUGCUGGCGCGCCCCUGUACGCCGUCGGUGGCAGUGGCCCAACCCGCUCGACGCCGGCGACGACGUCAGCGGUGUCUGCGCGAGAUGGCGGCGUCCUGGUUGCGGGAAGCGGUGCUGUGGCGGCGCGCAAGGAGUCGCUGCGAGAUGUACUGCGCUCUCCCGUGAAGCGUCGCAUUCAGGCAAUGGCCGCGGCGGCAGAGGCGAAGGGCGGAGGCGGCACGGCGCGCAAGAGAACCCGGGAAACUGCGAAUGGUCCCGCUGCACUUUCGAGCCUUGGCUUCGACGCUCUCCCAGCGCUGGUGCAGACGGGCAAGCGCGCCGCACGCGCCGAGCACCGGGCAUCUUUGCCUGCCCUGACAGCGGUGUUAGACUCACCAGUAAAGGGGGCGGCGGCCCAGAUGGGCAGCAGCAUCGAAGCUGGUGGCGAGAUGUCAACCUCACCACGCGAUGCCAUCGAAGAGGAAGCUGACGACCGCGACAGCAUCGAGGCCGUGCUGCGCAAGAUCGACGCGGACAACGAACGACUUGGUUAUGAUGUGUUUGGGUUGGAGGGCAGAGAGAGAGCCGCGCCGCCGGCGUUCCUGCAGAAUCUUCAUGACGCCGACGCGGUGAAAGCGGCGGGCAACGUCCCCGGUGAUGGUGGCACAUUUGAGGAGGAGUCGGUGCCUCACAAAGUCAAAGAAGGUUACAGCGGUGGCUACGCCGGUGGAGCCGGUCACCACGAUCAUGCCACCAGCGCGGCGGAACGCCGGCAUGGUGUUUAUGACAGGGCAGUGCAGGGCGAGCCACCAAUGGAGGAAGAGGAGGCAGAAGAGGAACUCAGUGCCGGCAAGAGUGACGAGUCUGGGAGGUCGACGCCUGAGUGGCUGCGGGACGGCUAGCGGGUGAACCGCAGCAUUGUUCUCCCCAUCCCUAACUUCCUCCCCACUGCCGUCACAGCGUCCCCUCUCUCGCUCGACUUCUCUCUCUAUCCUGCCAUCCAUCCUGACACCUCCAAGCCAGCGCGCUCCAUCAAUGCCUCCAGCUGCUCCCCACCCCCUCACCCACCCACCCAUGGUGCCUUUGUGUGCCUCCUGCAGCCCGUCGCGGCUGAUGCGAGCACCGCUUUCGGCGCAUAAUUUGUUGGUUGCUGUUUUUAUUUUCAGUAGGGGCGCGCUGCGUGCGCGUACGCGUAAAGUGCGGACGGGCGGUGGUCCAAGCUUACUGAGCGAGAGAGAGACACGCACACCGUGCUGGUGCGUGCCUGUAUAAUUAGAUGCUCUAUAUAGAGACAGCAGAAUGCAACGAGACGAAAUGUGAGAGAGGGAAGGCGAGAGGCGGAACGGCAAGAGCCGCAGACGGGGGGGGGAAGACGAGCAGGCAAGGUGGGAGCCUCACCUCAUCACUCGGUCUUCGCCUGUUUUCCUCACAUAUGUGCAUACGUCUGCGCGCACCGGCUUCUGUAUCGCCGGUGGGGCCUCGUUCUUCUGUUCUUUCUGAUCCUCUUGCUUGCCGUUUUUCCCAGCGCUUGAGCCGUCGUCCACACCCACAUACACAGACGCACGGGCAGUGCGUCUCUGUAUGUGGGUGUGUGUGCUCCACUUCUCUUCCAGUCGUCGUUGUUGGGUGUGCUCGGUGCAUGUAUGGCCGGUGUGUAGAUAAAGCGCCGCCUCUUCUCCUUCGGAUGGUCUGUCCUUGUGUUGCGUAUAUGUGCAUGUACAGAAAUAUGCACACGCACACAUCUCUAUGCAUGUAUAUAUGUAUAUGUGUGUAUAUAGAUGUAUAUGAACAUGUUUGCGGGCAAGGGGGCAUGGCGUAACAGCCUAUCCCUCGUAUACGUGUGUGUGUGUGUGUGUGCGUGUAUGGAUGUGUGUAUAUAUAUAAUAUAGAAUGCAUUUGUGCAUAUUUGUGUCUCUGGCCGUGUACGCUACCUGUAUCUUCUAGUCGUCGCCCUCUUUCUCUGUCGCUCGCUGCGGCUGUUUACGGCCCUCUUCUCCAUGACGCCUCUGAUGCUCGACUGCCCUUCUCUUUCUCUGCGCCGUGUGUGCAUCUGUACGCGCGCUCGCGGUUUACACGCCUCCCGGCAAAGGUCUAGAAGCCCCCUCUAUUGUUGUUGCUAUACACUGCCACCACUCUCUGUUCAUCAGUUUCUCGCGGUGCUCCGCCCAAGCCUUCGCUCUCCCUCUCUCGCCACCAUCACCGCCACCGCCACCGCCACCGCCACCCACACCCCUGGCGUCUCUUCAAGGUCAACAACGUCGGUGGUGGAUCGGAAAGGAUGUAAAGAUGCACGAGCGAUUUAAGACAUGCAAGAUCCGAUGACGCCUCCGUCAGGUUGCACUUUACAUGGAGUAUUGUGUG